Molecule: unclassified non-coding RNA, 200 nt
Filed under: uncultured Cortinarius
Lineage: Eukaryota; Fungi; Basidiomycota; Agaricomycetes; Agaricales; Cortinariaceae
Description: sequence contains ITS2
Source: RNAcentral
UUAAGUUCAGCGGGUAGUCCUACCUGAUUUGAGGCCACAUUAAUGAAAAUUUGUCCAAAUUAAUGGACUGUUAGGAGCUGAACUGCUUCACGUUCAACAGCGUAGAUAGUUAUCACACCAAUGAAACGGUCAACAAAAUGUUCCGCUAAUGCAUUUCAGGGGAGCUGACCUCGAGAGGCCAACAAAACCCCCACAUCCAA